GGCGCCCAGGCCGCGCGCGUGCGUGGAGCGCCGGUGCUCGCCGGGCCCGCCUCCCGCGCUGUUCCCGCCUUGGGCGCCGCGAGCGCGUUCCCGCCUUGGGCGCCGCUGAGGCGAUGCCGCUCCCCCAGCUGCCAGACUCGGCUUUUCCAGGGCGCCGCGUCGAGUUGGGUGCCGUCUGAGGGGAGGCCCCACCACAUCGGCCCGGCAAGAGUGCUGGGCCGUGUUGGUCCGGGUUUGAGGUCCUGUUGUGUCACCUGGCCUCCAAAAUUGGCUCUUCGAGAGUGCUGUGCCGUGUUCGUGCAGGACAUUUCACCCCUGAAGCAGGAGAGUAAUUCCACACUACAACCUCAACAGGAUCCUCAGCCACGCUGUGAGGUGCAAGAUGUUUACUGUGCGAGUUUAGGGAAGCAUUCAUGGGAUGUGGUGACAGCUGGGCAGCAGAGAGGAUCAUCACAGCGUACAGUCAGUGUGCUCAGGUGUUGCUGA
Molecule: long non-coding RNA, 486 nt
Organism: Falco tinnunculus (common kestrel)
Lineage: Eukaryota; Metazoa; Chordata; Aves; Falconiformes; Falconidae
Source: Ensembl